GCCUCCCCGCCGCAGAGCCGGCCGCGCGGGGGAGCUCGGCCGCCGCCGCCGCCUCCGCCCCGCCGCCCGCCGCCCCGGGGCUUCCGAAGUUUCUGGGUCACGUGCCGGCCCCGAGGUCGCGCCGAGUAACAAAGAGGCCGUUCAAGGAAACCAGAGACUCUCCAGCAUCGGGAAAGGUAGCAGGGAGACCUACGCUGCAACUUUCUCCUGUGAAAACGUUGUGAGGCAUACCGACGGCAUAGAGCUCUUUAACAGAAAAUAGGGAAAACUGGAGAGAAAUAAACCAUUGUAACCGCUUA
Molecule: long non-coding RNA, 299 nt
Organism: Felis catus (domestic cat)
Lineage: Eukaryota; Metazoa; Chordata; Mammalia; Carnivora; Felidae
Exons: 2
Source: RefSeq, a predicted model, not a curated record